Coturnix japonica (Japanese quail) is the source of this 916-nucleotide long non-coding RNA. RefSeq lists it as uncharacterized. The record is from RefSeq and is a predicted model, not a curated record. Lineage: Eukaryota; Metazoa; Chordata; Aves; Galliformes; Phasianidae.
GGAGCGGGACUGCAGCGCGGCCGCGGAGCAGGCGGGCUGCCCGCGCUCCUCGCGGAGGCGGGGGCGGAGCGGCGCGGAGCCGGGCGCGGAGCAGGGGCCGGCGCAGAGCAGAGCCGAGCCGAGCGCUCCGGUAAGACCCGCCCCCCGCCGCCGAGCCCGCUCCUUACAUCACUCGGGGCCAGGCUCACCGCACGCGGGGCGCCGCUCCGGACCGGGCUGUGGUUCCCCGGAGCCCCCCGGCCCUCCCGGGGCAGCUCGCCCCGCCCGCCGCCAUCUCCCCGCCCCGCCUGCACGGCCGGCCCCGGAGGGCUGCGUGGGAUGGAGCCCAUAGGGCCCUAUAGCAGAGUGGUCACCGCCGGUAGAGAUAUACUGAACAAAUGUUAAGGCUGCAGAGGCCCAGGUCUUACAGGAAUCAUCUUUUGACUCUUUAAGUACCUGGAGAGGUAGAGAAGAUGGGCAGUAGAAACCCCAGGCUGAUCAAGCUGCAUUGCUGCUGCAGAAGCAGAGGACAGCAGCUGAGAUGCUCACAGCAGAGCAGGGCCGCCUUCCCACCUAGAAGUCACUACAGGAUCUCCGGGUGCUUUUAUCUCACAUCCCAUCCUCCCAGCUUGUUUUGAUCAGCGUGCACAGUUCGGAGCUGUUGCCUUGUUUAUCUGCUGUGCUGGGUGCUUUCAUCUGUCUCCUGGAAAUCCAGCGGCUGCCGGCAAUGAAGGGAAGUGCAGUUUCAGUGCCUUCUGUUAACUUGUACCCAGAUCUGCUCCCCUUUUGCCUCUUUUCCCUGCCACCAGUUGGUCGGACUCAGAUGACUUUGUGAGGAGUUUGUAAUGAGUCUGAUGUGCUCAAAAGCUGAUUCUUCCCCGCCAGGGGAUUAAAUUGUGACCGUGAAUCUUUAUUAAAAUGAGCUCGGCACUUUGAA